UCUGAUAAAAAAAAAAUCAGUACCAUAAACUGGAUUCGAUUUAUAAAAAUUAGCAUUUACUAGUUUUUAUCAUAAAUAAAAGAGCGGGCUACUACAUACUACCCCUCUUAACAAAAAUUUCGUCCCGAAAUUUGCAUAUCUCUGUUAAAACAAUCCGGGUACUUCUCUUUCAUUUUGUCUUCAAACUCCCACGUAAUUUUUUUUUAUAUCUGCGGUGCCUCCAUAAGAUUUUCACUGAUGUGAUUGAAACUGAUUUCGCAAGUGUCCACGUAUUGCUGGCAAGGGGGUAUGGAUGUUCCCAAUUGCUGAACCUCGUU
This 317-nucleotide long non-coding RNA is filed under the name Salvia miltiorrhiza (redroot sage). RNAcentral describes it as "long non-coding RNA (SMIL_LNC001582)". Lineage: Eukaryota; Viridiplantae; Streptophyta; Magnoliopsida; Lamiales; Lamiaceae. The record is from RNAcentral.